AUGGCCGGAGGAGCAGCAUGGAAAGAAUGGGGUAUCGCAGCAUGGAAAGAAUGGGGUAUCCAGGCGUUGGUGCUGCUCAGCUUGACUCUCCAGGUGGCGCUGCUCAUACUGGCGGAAUUCCGGCGGCGCGUGGACUCCGGCGCGGUAAGGUUCUUGGCUUGGUCGGCGUACAUGCUGGCCGACGGCACGGCCAUCUACGUGCUGGGCCACCUGUCCGCCGCCAGCCGGUCUCCCGACCACGAGCUGAUGGCCUUCUGGGCGCCGUUCCUGCUGCUCCAUCUGGGCGGGCAGGACAACAUCACCGCCUACGCCGUCGAGGACAACCGGCUCUGGCUGCGGCACCUGCAGACGUUCGCCGUGCAGGUGACAGCCGCUGGUUACGUCCUCUUCUACACCUCCGUUAUCGUUGGUAGCCAGUCGGGCUCGGCCUUGCUCCGGUGGGCCGGCAUCCUCAUGUUUGUGGUGGGUGUCGUCAAGUACGCGGAGAGGGUCUGGGCGCUCCGGUGCGCUGGCAGCAACCCGGUGGGGAAGAACUACCAAGCUUUACAGCAUUCGGCCGUCGUUCGCUCACACAACAAUCUGGAAGUCAUACUAAAAAAGCGUCCGUGGGACACUGAAGAUUGCCUACUGAUGGCUCACCGAACGCUUGGGGUUCCCAAGGAAAUGAUCAAGGGGCUGAUCAACGAAGUAGGAUACGGACAUGCUUCUGCUUCGUAUCUCCGGGAGGAGGGCCGUCUGUACAAGGUGGUUGAGAUGCAGCUGUCCCUGAUGUACGACGUACUGUACACCAAGGCUGAGGUGAUGCACACUUGGUACGGCCUCUGCAUCCGUAUGCUCUCGCCUGUGGCGACCACCGUCGCCUUCCUGCUGUUCCAUCGCCAUCAACAUCAUCGUCACCAACAUCAACAUCGGGUAGAUGUGGCUGUCACCUAUGUCCUGCUGGUAGGUGCCCUUGUUCUGGAGGUGGUGUCGGCGUUGAGAAGCUUAUUCUCGAGUUGGGCAUGCGUGCUCCUCAUAAGUCAUGGGCCGCAUUACUCCCUCCGCGACACCUUGCGUUACAUACCCGGCGGCACCACAACAUGGUGGCUCGAGGCCGCAGCAUGGGUACCAAGACAUGUCAGCGGUUCGCUCGGCCGUAUGGUGUUGUCCGUCCGCCGGCUGGUCCGCGCGGCGGACUGGGCAAGGUACUGGUCGGCCUCCAUGGGGCAGCACAACCUGUUGCAGCUGGCCGCUCGCAGCAGGGUCAGCAAGAGAAGCAGGAUGGCCAAUUGGAUGGGGAGAGAGGUGUGGUGGAACGCUAUGGCCUACUCGAGCUCCAUCCCUGUCUCGCCCCUCAUCCAGGAGCUGGUGGUGGACUACAUCCUGAGCAAGGGGGGUGACCUCAGGCUCUUUAGCCAUGACCACGACAGCCUUGUACAUUUUGAUUCACGGGGUCAAGCGGAGCUCAGGAGGUGGGGAUUGUACGAGGGCCUGACCUGGAGCGUGGAAGAAAAGAUCCUUGUCUGGCACAUCGCCACCAACAUCUACAUCUACUCCAUGAUGAGCAGCAGCAGCAGCGAGGAGCAUAAGCGGAUGAGUGAGGCGGUCCAGGCGCUCUCCAACUACAUGCUGUACCUCCUCGCCUCACGCCCCUACAUGCGAGCUUGGUGCCAAGAUCGUCCAAGAUGA
Molecule: ribosomal RNA, 1668 nt
Filed under: Triticum aestivum (bread wheat)
Lineage: Eukaryota; Viridiplantae; Streptophyta; Magnoliopsida; Poales; Poaceae
Description: partial small subunit ribosomal RNA
Source: RNAcentral